AGGGGGCGGGCCUACCAUGCAAGUCGAGCGGUAGCACAGAGAGCUUGCUCUCGGGUGACGAGCGGCGGACGGGUGAGUAAUGUCUGGGAAACUGCCUGAUGGAGGGGGAUAACUACUGGAAACGGUAGCUAAUACCGCAUAACGUCGCAAGACCAAAGUGGGGGACCUUCGGGCCUCAUGCCAUCAGAUGUGCCCAGAUGGGAUUAGCUAGUAGGUGGGGUAACGGCUCACCUAGGCGACGAUCCCUAGCUGGUCUGAGAGGAUGACCAGCCACACUGGAACUGAGACACGGUCCAGACUCCUACGGGAGGCAGCAGUGGGGAAUAUUGCACAAUGGGCGCAAGCCUGAUGCAGCCAUGCCGCGUGUGUGAAGAAGGCCUUCGGGUUGUAAAGCACUUUCAGCGGGGAGGAAGGCGAUAAGGUUAAUAACCUUGUCGAUUGACGUUACCCGCAGAAGAAGCACCGGCUAACUCCGUGCCAGCAGCCGCGGUAAUACGGAGGGUGCAAGCGUUAAUCGGAAUUACUGGGCGUAAAGCGCACGCAGGCGGUCUGUCAAGUCGGAUGUGAAAUCCCCGGGCUCAACCUGGGAACUGCAUUCGAAACUGGCAGGCUAGAGUCUUGUAGAGGGGGGUAGAAUUCCAGGUGUAGCGGUGAAAUGCGUAGAGAUCUGGAGGAAUACCGGUGGCGAAGGCGGCCCCCUGGACAAAGACUGACGCUCAGUGCGAAAGCGUGGGGAGCAAACAGGAUUAGAUACCCUGGUAGUCCACGCCGUAAACGAUGUCGAUUUGGAGGUUGUGCCCUUGAGGCGUGGCUUCCGGAGCUAACGCGUUAAAUCGACCGCCUGGGGAGUACGGCCGCAAGGUUAAAACUCAAAUGAAUUGACGGGGGCCCGCACAAGCGGUGGAGCAUGUGGUUUAAUUCGAUGCAACGCGAAGAACCUUACCUGGUCUUGACAUCCACAGAACUUUCCAGAGAUGGAUUGGUGCCUUCGGGAACUGUGAGACAGGUGCUGCAUGGCUGUCGUCAGCUCGUGUUGUGAAAUGUUGGGUUAAGUCCCGCAACGAGCGCAACCCUUAUCCUUUGUUGCCAGCGGUCCGGCCGGGAACUCAAAGGAGACUGCCAGUGAUAAACUGGAGGAAGGUGGGGAUGACGUCAAGUCAUCAUGGCCCUUACGACCAGGGCUACACACGUGCUACAAUGGCAUAUACAAAGAGAAGCGACCUCGCGAGAGCAAGCGGACCUCAUAAAGUAUGUCGUAGUCCGGAUUGGAGUCUGCAACUCGACUCCAUGAAGUCGGAAUCGCUAGUAAUCGUAGAUCAGAAUGCUACGGUGAAUACGUUCCCGGGCCUUGUACACACCGCCCGUCACACCAUGGGAGUGGGUUGCAAAAGAAGUAGGUAGCUUAACCUUCGGGAGGGCGCUUACCACUUGGAUACCC
RNAcentral lists this ribosomal RNA (1438 nucleotides) under Klebsiella pneumoniae. Its description in RNAcentral is "bacterial SSU rRNA". It matches the Rfam family "Bacterial small subunit ribosomal RNA". The record is from RNAcentral. Lineage: Bacteria; Pseudomonadati; Pseudomonadota; Gammaproteobacteria; Enterobacterales; Enterobacteriaceae.